GGCAGCAGCCGCGGUAACACCGGCGGCCCGAGUGGUGAUCGUGAUUAUUGGGUCUAAAGGGUCCGUAGCCGGUUUGGUCAGUCCUCCGGGAAAUCUGAUAGCUCAACUAUUAGGCUUUCGGGGGAUACUGCCAGACUUGGAACCGGGAGAGGUAAGAGGUACUACGGGGGUAGGAGUGAAAUCUUGUAAUCCCUGUGGGACCACCUGUGGCGAAGGCGUCUUACCAGAACGGGUUCGACGGUGAGGGACGAAAGCUGGGGGCACGAACCGGAUUAGAUACCCGGGUAGUCCCAGCCGUAAACGAUGCUCGCUAGGUGUCAGGCAUGGCGCGACCGUGUCUGGUGCCGCAGGGAAGCCGUGAAGCGAGCCACCUGGGAAGUACGGCCGCAAGGCUGAAACUUAAAGGAAUUGGCGGGGGAGCACAACAACGGGUGGAGCCCUGCGGUUUAAUUGGACUCAACGCCGGACAACUCACCGGGGGCGACAGCAAUAUGUAGGCCAAGCUGAAGACUUUGCCUGAAUCGCUGAGAGGAGGUGCAUGG
This 542-nucleotide ribosomal RNA is filed under the name uncultured archaeon. RNAcentral describes it as "bacterial SSU rRNA". It matches the Rfam family "Archaeal small subunit ribosomal RNA", at positions 457 to 997 of the family's 1478-position model. The record is from RNAcentral.